AUGGACAAGGACGAUCGCUAUAUUGAUGUGGCAGUUCGGUUACAUGCUGACGCCGAACAGUGGAGAGUAACGUUUGUGUACGGGGAGCCGCGUGUUGAGAAUCGUCUCCUAAUGUGGCAGAAACUUCAAUCCCUGUUCAACACCUCGGACCUUCCUUGGUUGGUUAUUGGAGAUUUUAACGAGUGUCUCUGGGAAUUUGAACACCUCUCAGCAACACCAAGAGCUGAAUCACAAAUGUUGGCCUUUCGUGAUGUGCUUGAGGUAUGUCAACUAGUGGAUAUUGGUUUCUCAGGUGUACCGUUUACUUAUGAUAAUAGGAGAAGCGGGACUGCAAACGUGCGUGUACGUUUGGAUCGUGCUGUCGCCUCUAAUGCUUGGCGCAAUAUGUUCGCUUUCUCCUCAGUGGCCCAUGUGGUGUCUCCCUGUUCGGAUCAUGUGGUUCUUAUCCUUAAGGGGACCCCGGACCCUGGGCCGAGCGCAGGAAGACGACGCCAAUACGAAAUCUUUUGGGAGCGAAGUGGUGAGCUUCCCGAGUUGGUGCAGCAAGCAUGGGAGUCGGUGGGAGCAAUUGGGAACCUUGAACAGUUGCAGUCAGCCCUGAAGAAGACCAUGUAUACUUUGGGCAUAUGGAGGAGAUUUGGACAAUUUUCGGUGAAGUCGGCGUAUGAGUUUGCUUUUGAGGAAGCCAACAGAGAAUCUCAACCUGCGUCUAGCACUAAUCCAGAGGGUUGCCGGGCCAUCUGGAACCUGAUAUGGAAAACGGAUGUUCCUCCAACAGUCAAAAACUUUGCUUGGAGAGUGGUCUCAGAUUCCCUUCCUACUUGGGUUAACAAGCAUAAGAGGACCUUAGAAAUCACCAGCAUAUGUCCGGUGUGUGGUGUGGAACCGGAAGACAACUUCCAUCCUCUAUGUCGCUGCCCUAGAGCAAGAGAAUUAUGGUGCUAUAUGUCAGAGGUUUGGAACCUCCCACUGGUGGAUACCAUUCAGAAUGUUGGGAAGGAAUGGCUGUUCCAAGUGCUACAGCCACUUCAUGAAUUAGAGAGGUCCAUGCUUCUUAUGACUCUCUGGAGGUGUUGGUUCAUUCGUAAUGAGAUAGUGCACAAUAAGAUUCCGCCUCCCCUUGAGGUAUCGAGGAGGUUCCUUGUCAGCUAUCUGGAGUCACUAAUUGCUAUCAAAACGAACAUGCAUAUGGAUCCAGCCAAGGGGAAGUCAAUUAUCUCCUUUGAUCGCACGUUAACCCAUGCUGAUGCGCCCGUACCGGCCGCCCUGAAGUGGGCUGCACCACCGGAAGGGUGGGUAAAGCUAAACACGGACGGCUCUUUUCAUGAUGGUAGGGCAGGUGCAGGUAUGGUAUUACGGGAUCCUUCGGGGGAUGUAAUCUUUUCAGCUUGCAGAACACUUUACUCGUGUCGUGAAGCUUUGGAGGCAGAGCUGGGUGCUUGCAUGGAAGGUCUUUCUCUAGCGAUCCAGAGAAGUGAUCGUCCAGUGACCAUUGAGUUGGAUUCACUUGUUGCUAUAAAGCUGAUUCAAGGACAGGAGACAAAUAGGUCUAUUUAUGCUUCUUUAGUAAAAGAGAUUAGAUAUCUUUUAUCCCUUCGUGAAUGUUGUAUUACUCAUGUAAACCGGUCUCAAAAUCAGGUUAGCGAUAGUCUAGCAAAUUUUGCUCGUACCGAGGGAAGAACCAUGACUUGGAUUGGCUCUGGUCCCCCGAUAGUGCUUGAGCUAGUCGCCGCUGAAUGUAACUCUUUGUUGGCUUGA
RNAcentral lists this ribosomal RNA (1758 nucleotides) under Triticum aestivum (bread wheat). RNAcentral describes it as "partial small subunit ribosomal RNA". The record is from RNAcentral. Lineage: Eukaryota; Viridiplantae; Streptophyta; Magnoliopsida; Poales; Poaceae.